Molecule: ribosomal RNA, 253 nt
Filed under: uncultured bacterium
Lineage: Bacteria
Description: partial 16S ribosomal RNA
Rfam family: Bacterial small subunit ribosomal RNA
Source: RNAcentral
UACGUAGGGGGCAAGCGUUGUCCGGAAUCAUUGGGCGUAAAGCGCGUGUAGGCGGUUACGUAAGUCUGCUGUGAAAGUCGGAGGCUCAACCCUCGAAAGCCGGUGGAUACUGCGUGACUAGAGUACGGAAGAGGAGAGUGGAAUUCCUGGUGUAGCGGUGAAAUGCGCAGAUAUCAGGAGGAACACCAACGGCGAAGGCAGCUCUCUGGGACGUUACUGACGCUGAGACGCGAAAGCGUGGGGAGCAAACAGG